RNAcentral lists this ribosomal RNA (254 nucleotides) under uncultured bacterium. RNAcentral's name for it is "partial 16S ribosomal RNA". It matches the Rfam family "Bacterial small subunit ribosomal RNA", at positions 524 to 776 of the family's 1533-position model. The record is from RNAcentral.
UACGUAGGGAGCAAGCGUUGUCCGGAUUCAUUGGGCGUAAAGAGCUCGUAGGCGGCUAAUUAAGUCAGAUGUGAAAACUCCAGGCUCAACCUGGAGACGCCAUUUGAUACUGCUUUGGCUUGAGUUCGGUAGGGGACCAUGGAAUUCCUGGUGUAGCGGUGAAAUGCGCAGAUAUCAGGAGGAAUACCGAUGGCGAAGGCAGGUCUCUGGGCUAUAACUGACGCUCAUGCACGAAAGCGUGGGGAGCAAACAGG